RNAcentral lists this ribosomal RNA (254 nucleotides) under uncultured bacterium. RNAcentral describes it as "partial 16S ribosomal RNA". It matches the Rfam family "Bacterial small subunit ribosomal RNA", at positions 524 to 776 of the family's 1533-position model. The record is from RNAcentral.
GACGUAGGGUGCAAGCGUUGUCCGGAUUUAUUGGGCGUAAAGAGCUCGUAGGCGGUCUGUCGAGUCGGUCGUGAAAACUUGGGGCUUAACCCUGAGCUUGCGGUCGAUACGGGCAUGACUGGAGUUCGGCAGGGGAGACUGGAAUUCCUGGUGUAGCGGUGAAAUGCGCAGAUAUCAGGAGGAACACCGGUGGCGAAGGCGGGUCUCUGGGCCGAUACUGACGCUGAGGAGCGAAAGCGUGGGGAGCGAACAGG